UUCUCCUGUAUGAUCAUAAUUUCUUAAAUUUUUUACCCAGG
RNAcentral lists this non-coding RNA (41 nucleotides) under Plasmodium falciparum 3D7. Lineage: Eukaryota; Apicomplexa; Aconoidasida; Haemosporida; Plasmodiidae. The record is from RNAcentral.